Molecule: ribosomal RNA, 253 nt
Filed under: uncultured bacterium
Lineage: Bacteria
Description: partial 16S ribosomal RNA
Rfam family: Bacterial small subunit ribosomal RNA
Source: RNAcentral
UACGUAGGGUACAAGCGUUGUCCGGAAUUAUUGGGCGUAAAGAGCUCGUAGGCGGUCUGUCGCGUCGGAUGUGAAAACCCAGGGCUCAACCCUGGGCCUGCAUUCGAUACGGGCAGACUAGAGUUCGGUAGGGGAGACUGGAGUUCCUGGUGUAGCGGUGAAAUGCGCAGAUAUCAGGAGGAACACCGGUGGCGAAGGCGGGUCUCUGGGCCGAAACUGACGCUGAGGAGCGAAAGCGUGGGGAGCAAACAGG